RNAcentral lists this transfer RNA (76 nucleotides) under Candidatus Saccharimonadota bacterium. Its description in RNAcentral is "tRNA-Arg". It matches the Rfam family "tRNA". Rfam says of the family: Transfer RNA (tRNA) molecules are approximately 80 nucleotides in length. Their secondary structure includes four short double-helical elements and three loops (D, anti-codon, and T loops). Lineage: Bacteria; Candidatus Saccharimonadota. The record is from RNAcentral.
GCGCCCGUAGCUCAGUGGAUAGAGCGUCUGUCUUCGGAACAGAAAGUCGGCGGUUCGAAUCCGUCCGGGCGUACCA